This 253-nucleotide ribosomal RNA is filed under the name uncultured prokaryote. Its description in RNAcentral is "partial 16S ribosomal RNA". It matches the Rfam family "Bacterial small subunit ribosomal RNA", at positions 524 to 776 of the family's 1533-position model. The record is from RNAcentral.
GACGUAGGGCGCGAGCGUUGUCCGGAUUUAUUGGGCGUAAAGAGCUCGUAGGCGGUUUGUCACGUCGAAUGUGAAAUCUUAGGGCUCAACCCUGACAUUGCAUUCGAUACGGGCAGGCUAGAGUUCGGUAGGGGAGACUGGAAUUCCUGGUGUAGCGGUGAAAUGCGCAGAUAUCAGGAGGAACACCUGCGGUGUAGACGGCUUUCUGGACCAUUGUUGACGCUGAGACACGAAAGCGUGGGUAGCAAACAGG